GACGAACGCUGGCGGCGUGCUUAACACAUGCAAGUCGAACGGUGAAGCGCCUUCCUUUUUGGUGGGUGUGGAUGAGUGGCGAACGGGUGAGUAACUCGUGAGUAACCUGCCCCCUCCUUCUGGAUAACCGCAUGAAAGUGUGGCUAAUACGGGAUAUUCUGGGCCUGUCGCAUGAUGGGUCUGGGAAAGAUUUUGUUCUGGCGGGGGAUGGGGUGGUGGCCUAUCAGCUGGUUGGUGGGGUGAUGGCCUACCAAGGCGGUGGCGGGUAGCCGGCCGGGGGGGGUGGGCGGCAACACUGGGGCGGAGGGACGGCGCCGACUCCGACGGGGGGCAGCAGGGGGGAAUAGUGCACAAUGGGCGGAAGCCUGCUGCAGCGACGCCGCGGGGGGGAUGGAGGCCUUCGGGUUGUGAACCUCUUUCGCCAGUGAAGAGGGCCUGCCUCGUUUGUGGGUGGGUUGACGGUAGCUGGAGAAGAAGCGCCGGCUAACUACGUG
RNAcentral lists this ribosomal RNA (494 nucleotides) under uncultured bacterium. RNAcentral describes it as "partial 16S ribosomal RNA". It matches the Rfam family "Bacterial small subunit ribosomal RNA", at positions 28 to 507 of the family's 1533-position model. The record is from RNAcentral.